RNAcentral lists this transfer RNA (60 nucleotides) under Laevapex fuscus. Its description in RNAcentral is "tRNA-Cys". The record is from RNAcentral. Lineage: Eukaryota; Metazoa; Mollusca; Gastropoda; Ancylidae.
AAAAAAUUAGUUUAAAAAAAACAUUUAGUUGCAAACUAAAAAAUAUAUUUUUAUUUUUUU